Molecule: unclassified non-coding RNA, 648 nt
Filed under: Hevea brasiliensis (rubber tree)
Lineage: Eukaryota; Viridiplantae; Streptophyta; Magnoliopsida; Malpighiales; Euphorbiaceae
Source: RNAcentral
GUGCCUUGAGGUUGCAAGCCCAUUUACCUAAACAAUUUUGGUCUGAGUGUAUUUUAGCAGCAACUUACUUGGUUAAUAGGUUGCUUGUUAAGAAAUUAGCAUGGCUAACACCUUAUGAAAAACUUUACAAUCAGGCACCAAAUUACAGUCAUAUGAAAGUUAUUGGUUGUUUGUCUUUUGCUACCAAUGUCUAUCCUCACAAGGAUAAAUUUUCUAAUAGAUCUAUUCCUGCUGUUUUCCAUGGUUACUCCAGUAAUAACAAAUGAUACAGAUUAUACAAUUUAAAUACUGGAGAAGUGUUUGUGAGCAGAGAUGUCUUGUUUUAUGAAGAUAAGUUCCCUUUCAAAGAUGAUCCUCAGCUUCGUAAUUCUUUUUCGUCUGAUUCUUUAGUUCUUCCUCUACUUUUUUCUUUUGUUGACUUUAGUCCUUCCUUUUCACAACUCCAAUCCCCCCACUUCUGAGUCAGCCUCUUCGUCUUGUCCGGUCCCAAAUCCAGAUACUUCACCUCAACCUUCUUUAGUUCCUUCUAGAAGGUCUACUAGAAAUGUUGUUAAACCAAGUUGGUUAAGAGAUUUUGUGGGUAUGGCUACCGCUACUUCUCAGAACAUAGUUGUUACAAAUGCAGGUAAUUUCCCUACUCAAAUCUUG